AUGAUACUCCCUACGUCCGGAGAUACUUGUCGGAGGAAUGGAUGUAUCUAGACGUAUUUUAGUUUUGGAUACAUCCAUUUUUAUCCAUUUCUCUGACAAGUAUUUCUAGACGAAGGGAGUAUAAU
Non-coding RNA from Triticum aestivum (bread wheat), 125 nucleotides. The record is from Rfam. NCBI's taxonomy places the organism in Eukaryota, Viridiplantae, Streptophyta, Magnoliopsida, Poales, Poaceae.